AUGCAACUAAUACUCAAUUUUCUAGGACUUGAUACAUCAUGGUCUUCUUGUGCUUUGUUGUUUGGUUGGUGUAGAAUCCGUCAGCUCUUACCAAGAGGCUCUAGCUUCGAACCUGACUCUUUUAGUAGUUGGAGUGUUGCACGCAUGGAAUUGAUCGCAGAGAGGAAGCGAAGCAGCAACAGUUUGGGUUCAGAGAAGAUUAGGAGCAGCAGUUCAUUGGAGAAGGAGAGGUACAGCAGCGGAGGGUAG
RNAcentral lists this ribosomal RNA (249 nucleotides) under Triticum aestivum (bread wheat). Its description in RNAcentral is "partial small subunit ribosomal RNA". Lineage: Eukaryota; Viridiplantae; Streptophyta; Magnoliopsida; Poales; Poaceae. The record is from RNAcentral.